RNAcentral lists this long non-coding RNA (902 nucleotides) under Zea mays. RNAcentral describes it as "long non-coding RNA (ZMAY_LNC000086)". The record is from RNAcentral. Lineage: Eukaryota; Viridiplantae; Streptophyta; Magnoliopsida; Poales; Poaceae.
UCGGCCACUCGGGAAAGAGACCCUAAAGCCACUAUUUGGAUAAGGAAUACAAAAGGACCUCAUUUUAAAUUAUAAACUCUACUAAAUUAUCAGUAUAUAGUUUGCAUUGCGUGGGUAUACAACUAUAUGUUAUACCGCCCACCCAAUAGACAAAUAUCAAAGUCUUAAUCAUCUAUAUGGAAUAAAUGGAUAAGAAUCCACGAGACAUGGAGCCUAUUUGGUUCAGCUUUUUUCUGACCAGCUUUUCCGAGAAUCUAGCUGUGGGGAGAAUCUGGCUGUGUAGAGAAUCUGAGUAUCAUUAGAAUUACGUGCGGAGAAAGAUAAAGUUGUUAAUGGGGCUCAGGAUCUAUAAAGUGACGGAUUGCUACUAUUGCGACGACUCAACCGAUUAUAUGUUUAUGUUGAUUUUGAAUGGUUUUUACCCAAACGAAUUUUAUAGAAGCUGGCUGAAAAGCUAAGUGUUUGGCAGUCCGCAGCAGCUUUUGAUGUCCACAAGCUGCGAAAAGCUGAAACAAACAGGGGCAUGAUGCAGUGGUUUCGGCCUCCCCCACACCCGCAUUUUUUUCUUCUGUUAUUCUUUUCUUUCUAGGGUGCGCUGGAUAUGCUAGAGGCACAAUCUUCAGACUUACCUUUUCCCUGAGAAAUCUUUCUGGUGAUAUAGUAGUAGUUGGCAUGGGUUCUUAUUAUUAGCGUUGCUGGAUUUUUUUCUUCCAGCACCUUAUGUCUUAACAACUGCCCCAUAGUUCAACAUUAUUCCAUAUCAUUUUGCCCUUCCUCGGCAAGUAAUUUAAAGUGUUGUUGAGUGGACCUCAAUGCAAUGCAUAUGCUUGCGGUUCAUGUCAGAUACCAAUUCUAGACAGGUAGAGGUAGUUUAGUUCCAAACAAUAACACUGCUACUCAAG